AACGAACGCUGGCGGCGCGUUUUAAGCAUGCAAGUCGAACGGUAGAGGGGAGCAAUCCUCUUGAGAGUGGCGAACGGGUGAGUAACACGUAGAUGAUCUACCCUUGUUUUGGGGAUAGCUCGUGGAAACACGGGGUAAUACCGGAUACGCUCGAAGAGCUGUAGCUUUUUGAGGAAAGGCGCGGAUGCGCCGAACGAGGAUGAGUCUGCGGCCCAUUAGCUAGUUGGCGGGGUAAAGGCCCACCAAGGCGACGAUGGGUAGCCGGCCUGAGAGGGUGAACGGCCACACUGGGACUGAGAUACGGCCCAGACUCCUACGGGUGGCAG
This 326-nucleotide ribosomal RNA is filed under the name uncultured Spirochaetota bacterium. RNAcentral describes it as "bacterial SSU rRNA". It matches the Rfam family "Bacterial small subunit ribosomal RNA", at positions 29 to 351 of the family's 1533-position model. The record is from RNAcentral. Lineage: Bacteria; Pseudomonadati; Spirochaetota.